CUAUGUGUUGUUGGGUAGGGGAGCGUUCUGUAAGCCUGUGAAGGUGUGCUGUGAGGUAUGCUGGAGGUAUCAGAAGUGCGAAUGCUGACAUAAGUAACGAUAAAGCGGGUGAAAAGCCCGCUCGCCGGAAGACCAAGGGUUCCUGUCCAACGUUAAUCGGGGCAGGGUGAGUCGACCCCUAAGGCGAGGCCGAAAGGCGUAGUCGAUGGGAAACAGGUUAAUAUUCCUGUACUUGGUGUUACUGCGAAGGGGGGACGGAGAAGGCUAUGUUGGCCGGGCGACGGUUGUCCCGGUUUAAGCGUGUAGGCUGGUUUUCCAGGCAAAUCCGGAAAAUCAAGGCUGAGGCGUGAUGA
This 353-nucleotide ribosomal RNA is filed under the name Escherichia coli. Its description in RNAcentral is "partial 23S ribosomal RNA". It matches the Rfam family "Bacterial large subunit ribosomal RNA", at positions 1214 to 1569 of the family's 2925-position model. The record is from RNAcentral. Lineage: Bacteria; Pseudomonadati; Pseudomonadota; Gammaproteobacteria; Enterobacterales; Enterobacteriaceae.